This is a long non-coding RNA of Zalophus californianus (California sea lion), 1668 nucleotides long. RefSeq lists it as uncharacterized. The record is from RefSeq and is a predicted model, not a curated record. NCBI's taxonomy places the organism in Eukaryota, Metazoa, Chordata, Mammalia, Carnivora, Otariidae. The transcript has 4 exons.
GAGGAUUUAAGCCUGGAGCUUUUAGCAACAGUUUUGCCACUAUGAGAGCCGGGCCUGCCUGAGAAUGGAGUCAAGGCACAGGGAAGCAAAGGUUGCAACUUUAAUGUAACACUGAUACCAAGAACAUGACAACAGGACAAAAGCACACAACAAAAGCAGGAAGGGCGAAGACAGCUUCCUCUUGCGUGCCACCUUGGAUAGGCAGGUAGAAGGUGCCCCUAGUGCUGUGUUAUAAGAAGGAGUCUGAGGAGGCACUCUGGCUUGGCGAGUGACUGCUGCAGGUCAUCAGCACUGAUGGAUCUGGGAGAAGUUGGCACUUGCUCUGGCAGCAUUUCUGGCGGGGAUGAUGGAGCUGGUGCUGGGCCCAUCAAGAAUGUGGUGCUGGCCCCCCCACUGGAGCCACGGCUGAUGCCAGCUCUCCCAGUGCCUCUCCAGUUGGCAUGGUUGCCAUUCAGAAUUACUGAUGGUAUCUAGCCCAGAAAGCCAAGGGAACCCCGGCCCAGCGAUUGCUAAAAUCUCCAUCCUAAUACCACGUCAGAAGCUCCACCUGUGUGUCAUCCCAGCUCCACCGUCCAAUCAGCGCUUCAUCCCCGAUGUCCAUCUGGGCCCUCAUCUGGGCCCUGGCAUGUUCCUCAGCCAUAUCCACAUCCAUCAUCUUGAACGCAUCAUCCACAGCCUCCAAGAAAUGAGCUUUCCCUUCCCGGGGUCUCGGCUCUGAUGCUGGGUGAUGAAUCUCAGCACACCCACCUUGCUGGUCUUGUGGAAGGCUCUCAGACCCCAGAGGAAUUCAUACUCCACUGGGCUGCUAUUGGGGAUCUUCUUGUAUUCCAGGCCUUGGGGAUCAGAGUCCAGGCAGCCUGCUGAAAAAACCCUGCAGCUUGUCUAUACUUUCAAGUUUUCCAACUGGACUACUGAUGGAAAAUAUAUCUUCCAGAAUGGUCUCAAGGAUGCUAGAAAACCAUUGGUAAAUCAGGUGUGUGAUGACCAAAGCUGUUUGCCCAAAGGCUAUUCAUCUUCUGAACUGUCUACUUAUGAAGCCAUUUAUUUAUCUCUACGCCUGAGAAACAAGUUGCCUGAACUGUUUCAGAUUCCCUGCAAGCUGGCAGCCCCACUAAAGUUAUUUAUUUGGGGCACAGAGAGUGAGGUGGCUGUGUGGGGCUAAAAUAAUCGAGCUGUUCUUGCCCUUCAUGGCAACAAUGACAAUAAAACAAUUAUCAGGAAAUCGUCCAGGAAACAACUUUCAAACUGAAAGACUGAAGGGAUGAAACACUCCUGUCUUCAGGCUGCUUGUCGUCCAUCUCAAGGGUCCGCAAACUGUGGCACGACCGGUCAAGCCCAGAUUGCCACCUUUCUUGGUAACCACAGUUCUACUGGCACCUAGCCAUGCGCGCGCAUUUCCGUGUUGUCUGGGGCCACCUUCCCAUGCAUGACAGAGCUGAAGAGCCGUGGCAGAGUCCUCAUGGACCCCAAUGCCUAAAAUAUUUACUAUCUGGCCCUUCGUGGAAAGAGUUUCCUGAUCCUUGCCCUAUUUGGCUGUACUGGCUAAGGAACUGCUUAUGUGAAAUUGAUAAAAUGCCUUCGAGAAAGUACCCAGCAAUCCUUGGAAGGGACUGGUGAGUUGGGAACGAGAAACGGCUAUCAAGAGAUCUGUUUACAAUCACCCUCCAC